UGACAUUAGUUUAACGGCCGCGGUAUCCUGACCGUGCAAAGGUAGCAUAAUCAUUUGUUCCUUAAUUAGGGACUUGUAUGAAUGGCUCCACGAGGGUUUAACUGUCUCUUACUUUCAAUCAGUGAAAUUGACCUUCCCGUGAAGAGGCGGGAAUACAAAAAUAAGACGAGAAGACCCUAUGGAGCUUAAAUUAAAGUGUCCAACAAAAUUUAAGUUUACCCCAACAGGGAUAAUAGCAUUUUAACUGGACAACAAAUUUUGGUUGGGGUGACCUCGGAGCAUAACAAAACCUCCGAGCGAUUUUAACUAAGACUUAUCAGUCAAAGUGACUUAACUUAUUGAUCCAAUCAUAUUGAUCAACGGAACAAGUUACCCUAGGGAUAACAGCGCAAUCCUAUUUAAGAGUUCAUAUCGACAAUAGGGUUUACGACCUCGAUGUUGGAUCAGGACACCCAAAUGGUGCAGCAGCUAUUAAAGGUUCGUUUGUUCAACGAUUAAAGU
RNAcentral lists this ribosomal RNA (501 nucleotides) under Crocidura luna (Moonshine shrew). RNAcentral describes it as "partial 16S ribosomal RNA". It matches the Rfam family "Bacterial large subunit ribosomal RNA", at positions 1914 to 2594 of the family's 2925-position model. Lineage: Eukaryota; Metazoa; Chordata; Mammalia; Eulipotyphla; Soricidae. The record is from RNAcentral.